RNAcentral lists this long non-coding RNA (684 nucleotides) under Capra hircus (goat). RNAcentral's name for it is "lncRNA (ENSCHIG00010018390.1)". The record is from RNAcentral. Lineage: Eukaryota; Metazoa; Chordata; Mammalia; Artiodactyla; Bovidae.
GGUAUGAACUCUGCCCUUCCACAGUUCAUAUUCUUAAGGAAGAAAUCAGAAUGAGCAAAACAAAUAAGUAAACAGUGAUUAUAUCACAAGGUAGUUUGUGGCUCGGAGAAAAAGAACACAGGGAAAGAGCAAGGCAGGUUCUGGAGAUGAGCUGACAUCGUAAACUUCUAAAAGUCAGCGCAAGGACGCUCCGCAGCAGUAAUGCUGAACGAGAUCUAGAGAAGGGAAGACAGAUAUGAAAGUCUCUGCUGGGAAAGCAGCAAAAGCAGAGACUCUGAGACGAGAGCAUUCCUGGCAGGCUUGAGAAAGAGUCCAAAUAGUCAAUCAAAACAUAUAAAAAUAUGAAUUCAAAAGUCAGGGUCACAGAUAUACCACGAUACAGAAAUUCAAGGUAGUUUUCUUGAACUCCUCUUUGUCCUCUUCAGAAUUUUGUUAUUUUUUUAAAUAGAAAUAUAUUGCCUGUAUUAAUAUAAAAGCCCUAACAACAUGUUAAAAUUAGUUUUCAAAAUCUAAAUACACUGUAUACUUAGAGUUACACAAAAAAAUUCUAAUUAACACAGAUAGUCCAUCUGUGCUCAUUAGAGAACAUUUGGAAAUUGUAAAAAAAAAAAAAAGAAACACCAAAACUGGAAGGUUUUUUUCAAGCAGCCAUUAGCCCACCAACUUGAGAUCUUCCUCUGUCUA